GAUUCGAGCUAGAGGCUUCUUGGUUCAUGUUUUGUGCGUUAUGGCCAUGGGGUGAGUUCCCAAUUGCCCUCUUGUUGGAGGAGUUGGCAGUCAGAGAUAUCGACGCUGAUUGUUGCUGCAUUUGCUGCUGAUUCUUCAUUGGUGAUUUGGGCCGAAGCGCCUCUAUAUCAGGAGUUGUAACAACAAGAUGUGGUGCUUCUGGAGGUGGAUUUCUUCCUCCCCCGCCCUGCCAAACUUUCCCAUCCUUAUCAGCAAAAUUCCUUAUGUAGGCCUGAAAUAUUUCCAAAUUGUACAGUGAGUAUAAGAAACAUAUAAUGUAGCAGCAACUCGGUAUAAAGCAUAACCCCCUCUAAAAUAUCCAAAUGCCUGCAACUUAAGUUGACUGAACAAUCUGAAGGAAGCAAGUCAGAGCUAAAAUAUAUGAUUGUCACCAUAAGUGAUUAGCCAAUAUAUGACCAAAAUCUCUUCCUAAAGGAGAGAGCAAAGGUUUGAAGCAU
This 497-nucleotide long non-coding RNA is filed under the name Nicotiana benthamiana. RNAcentral's name for it is "long non-coding RNA (NBEN_LNC002365)". Lineage: Eukaryota; Viridiplantae; Streptophyta; Magnoliopsida; Solanales; Solanaceae. The record is from RNAcentral.